RNAcentral lists this ribosomal RNA (460 nucleotides) under uncultured Methylomirabilota bacterium. Its description in RNAcentral is "bacterial SSU rRNA". It matches the Rfam family "Bacterial small subunit ribosomal RNA", at positions 977 to 1434 of the family's 1533-position model. The record is from RNAcentral. Lineage: Bacteria; Methylomirabilota (SeqCode).
GGGCUUGACAUCCCACGAACCUGCCUGAAAGGGCAGGGUGCCCGCAAGGGAGCGUGGAGACAGGUGGUGCAUGGCUGUCGUCAGCUCGUGUCGUGAGAUGUUGGGUUAAGUCCCGCAACGAGCGCAACCCUCACCCCUUGUUGCUACCAGGUAAAGCUGGGCACUCCAGGGGAACUGCCCCGGUCAACGGGGAGGAAGGCGGGGAUGACGUCAAGUCAUCAUGCCCCUUACGUCCUGGGCUACACACGUGCUACAAUGGCCGGUACAAAGGGAUGCCACACCGCGAGGUAGAGCUAAACCCAAAAAGCCGGUCUAAGUUCAGAUUGGAGUCUGCAACUCGACUCCAUGAAGGAGGAAUCGCUAGUAAUCGCGUAUCAGCACGACGCGGUGAAUACGUUCCCGGGCCUUGUACACACCGCCCGUCACACCACGAAAGCCAGCUGUACUCGAAGUCGCUGAG